GGGAAUAAAAUGCGAUAGAAUGAUAAUGUACAAUGAGAAGUGAUAAUUCGUAAACCAAAAUGUUCUCUAAUGAGCGACAAAUAAUCAAUAAAUACAAAUAAGCAAUACAAUACACAUAAGAGCAAUAAUCUCACUUAACAUAUUAUGUAAAUACUAAAGCUAGUGGAAAAAAAAACCUAAUUAAAAAAAAGGACACCAAGCAAAUUAACACAAACA
This 216-nucleotide long non-coding RNA is filed under the name Gossypium raimondii (Peruvian cotton). RNAcentral's name for it is "long non-coding RNA (GRAI_LNC011231)". The record is from RNAcentral. Lineage: Eukaryota; Viridiplantae; Streptophyta; Magnoliopsida; Malvales; Malvaceae.